Molecule: long non-coding RNA, 3090 nt
Organism: Triticum dicoccoides
Lineage: Eukaryota; Viridiplantae; Streptophyta; Magnoliopsida; Poales; Poaceae
Exons: 6
Source: RefSeq, a predicted model, not a curated record
UGGGCACCACACGUGCGCGUGGGCAAUAAAAGGGAUCUCCUUCCCCUGGCCUGGUUCAUUCUGGAGAACCCUCGCCGCCACGCCCAACUUGGGGAAAAAAAGUUGCUAAAAAAAACUUGGGGAAAAACAGUUUAUCGAGCCGCGCCUGGCGGUUGCGGCGGCGCCCGUGCUUCGCGUCGGCAUGGGGCGGAUGGACGCUGCGGGCAUGGAGUUUCUGCUUGAUGCGGUCGACAGGUUCCCCGUACGAGAGGAGUUCGCUGACAGCCUUGAACAGCCAGAUUCGGCUCCUCUCUUUUCCUGAUGCAGAACGGGACUGAGAAUCUGGGGGCUGGUGAUUCAAAUGCUGGGUCUGGGUUGGCUCAAAAUGUCGGCGAAGAUGGGAGGGCUGCAGCGCAAGAUGGUGCCCGGCGUCGGCGUGAUUCAUCUCCGACGAGGUCUGCUCAGUCUAUGGACAGAGUGAAUCCAGAGGCCCCUGGCUGGACGAAAAGGCUUCGGCUGGGAAGCGCGCCACCAGACCGGGCACCUGGCCCUUCCAGGAUGAGUGCUCUCGAGCUGUCAACUCGCAAGUAUGCAGAACAACCUGACAAGGGCCUAGUCCGGCCUGAGCUAGGUCUCAGUUUGGAUUCAUUGGGUGAGGCGUAUGAUUUCUGUAAUCUAUAUUCUUGGAAGAUCGGUUUUGGGAUAAGGUACGGAAAAAGCAGGUUAAGCGAUGAGAGGACCAAAAGCAUGCAGGAAAUCGUUUGAGGUUGCUCGGUUAGUGUUGAGCUAUGUGCAAAAGCAUGAACAGUAGGGUGUGCGCUGCAGCCACAAUCUGAUGUAAUUUUUGCUUUGCUUGGUGCUUGCCCUACAGGGAAAACCUGAAGCAAAAAAACAGUAGGUUGUGCAGAUGCGAGUGCCCAGCUCUAAUCAGACUACUACGUGCAUCGGACAACAAUUGAUACAUCACAGAGCACCGUGAAGGGCACAACCAUUCCAUGUCGCUAACCAUGGGAGAGGGAGUGCACUGGCCGUCUCAUAAACACAUAGACGUGUACACAAAAGGAUUUGAUAAGGCAAUUGAGGGAAACCAAUGUGAACCUAAGGAAGGUGUAGAGCAUAAUUGGUACCUUUUUUGGUUCUGUUGAUAAGGUACCGUUCACAAAAAGGACUCUCAGGAAUAUUUGUGGAAGAUUAGACGUGAGCAAGCUGAGGACGAUGCGGCGGAAGACGCUGGAGGUGUUUGCUGACAUCCGUUCCAGCGACCCUGGUUUUCACCUAUGUGGUGUUGGUUCACAAAAAUCUUAUGUGAGGUAAUGGAAGCAGCCUGAUGCAAUACAAGUUCUUUGGUGAUGUGGUCACAUUCGACACUACAUACAGGACAAAUUUGUAUGGCAUGCCAAUUGGGUUAUUUGUUGGAGUUAGCAAUCACUAUUAGAGCAUUAUCCUGGCGAUAGUGUUGAUGUGUGAUGAACAAAAAGAGAGCUUUGAACGGGUGUUUGCAGAGUUUUUGCGCAUGAUGGCCCCAAAAAACAAUACUCACAGACCAAUGCAGGCUAUGGAGGUGGCGAUCAAGAAGGCUUACCCUGGCACUGUCCACCGAUGGUGCAAGUGGCAUGUCCUGAAGAAGGCAAAGGAAACCUUGGGUCCGCCUAACACGAAGAAAAGUGAUUUUCAGGCUGAAUUUCACAAGGUUGUGAAGCACAUGUUAACCGAGGAUGAGUUCAAAUCAGCUUGGGGGUUGCUGGAUAAAUACAAUCCGAGGAGUCACACAUAUAUGACCCACAUAUACGAAACCAGGAAAAAAAAAGGGCAAAGCCAUACUUCAGAGGUGUGUUCCGUGCGAAAAUGACAAGCACCGAACGAGGGCGCAAACCACAUGCUGAAGUCGUACAUGCCCCCUGCAAGCCCAAUGCAUAUUUUUGUUAGGCAGUACACGAGGUUAUAGUUUGAUUCCGAGCGUGACGAGAGCUACGAGAAGAAGAGGACCAUGAUUGGUGGCGCCGUGAGGCAGACUAACUUUGCGAUAGAGCGGCAUGCAAGCAAAAUAUACACUAGGAAUAUGUUCGAGGAAUUUGGCCGCCUCCUGAUUGAAGGAACCGCAUACAAUGUCACUGAAGUGGAGCGGAUGAGGAAAUACAUCACAACUCACAAUAAUGCAGCAAGGAGAGAGAGAAGUGGAGCAGGGUUGAGUACGAGGUGACCAUAAACGAAGACAAAUCAAUAUUCACUUGCGAGUGUGGUCUGUUUGAGCACACUGGAAUGCUAUACAGCCAUGUCUUGAGGGUGAUGGAGAUUCUUCACCUGGAGGAGAUCCCGAAGCACCAUAUCGUGAAGCGGUGAACGAGAGACGCAAGGGAUAUACUUCCGGAGCACCUGGUCCAGUACCAAAAAGACAAUUCACCGAACCUGCCUUUGACAUGUAGGCACGUGAUGCUGUACUUCAAAGCUAUGGAUGUCACGCGAAUGGGGGACGCAAGUGCUGCAUGUUAUGACCAUAUGCAUGCAGGUCUCAAAGCCUACUGAGUGGAGCACCGCUGGAGAAGAGGGAUGGUUUAGCUUUUGAGGAUCGCCUGAUUGAAAGGGCGGAUGCCAGACUCUCUGCCAAGGGCGAGAUUGCUGUUUUGGAAGGCGACACCGACCAGUGCGAAUGUGCGAUAGUGCCGGGCAUUCUUUCAGCGUGAAUGCUCUGCAGGGUCUCGCAGCGCAGGACAAACAUAGGGGUGCCAGAAGGCCAACAAACAGCAGGGAGAAGGCCCCUCACAAUUCUGCAGCAUUUGUCGUCGCGAGGGUCACAAAAGGACCACAUGACCAGAAAGAGGAGAUGCACCGAAAAAGUCACACAAGCCCGGCAAAUGCAAGAACUGCAGGAUAGAAGGCCAUCAACAGAAUACCUGCAAAAGGCCUUGGUUUCGCCGAGAACUGAGCUAUGUGGUUUUUCAGUUUGUAAUAUGUGUUAUCGUUUUAACCAGGGGAUUUUCUAGUGUGUUUCAGUUUAGCACUGCCUCUACGCUUGUUCCUCAGUCUAGAUGGACGUGUGUCGUACUUUAUCUAAGAGCAUGAACUAUGUUUAUGGUUGUCCGAACUGUUAUGAAUUAACAGAAUUUCGUACUA